RNAcentral lists this ribosomal RNA (854 nucleotides) under uncultured bacterium. RNAcentral's name for it is "bacterial SSU rRNA". It matches the Rfam family "Bacterial small subunit ribosomal RNA", at positions 1 to 900 of the family's 1533-position model. The record is from RNAcentral.
GCUUAGAGUUUGAUCCUGGCUCAGGAUGAACGCUGGCGGUAUGCUUAACACAUGCAAGUCGAACGGAGUACUUCGGUACUUAGUGGCGGACGGGUGAGUAACGCGUGAGAAUCUGCCUUCAGGAUGGGGAUAACAGUGGGAAACCAUUGCUAAUACCCAAUGAGCCGAGAGGUAAAAAAUUUAUUGCCUGAAGAGGAGCUCGCGUCCGAUUAGUUAGUUGGUGGGGUAAAGGCUUACCAAGACGGCGAUCGGUAGCUGGUCUGAGAGGAUGAGCAGCCACACUGGGACUGAGACACGGCCCAGACUCCUACGGGAGGCAGCAGUGGGGAAUUUUCCGCAAUGGGCGAAAGCCUGACGGAGCAAUACCGCGUGAGGGAGGAAGGCCUUUGGGUUGUAAACCUCUUUUCUUAAGGAAGAAGAUCUGACGGUACUUAAGGAAUCAGCAUCGGCUAACUCCGUGCCAGCAGCCGCGGUAAUACGGAGGAUGCAAGCGUUAUCCGGAAUUAUUGGGCGUAAAGCGUCCGCAGGCGGCACUAUAAGUCUGCUGUCAAAGACCGCAGCUCAACUGCGGAAAGGCAGUGGAAACUGUAGAGCUAGAGUACGGUAGGGGUAGAGGGAAUUCCCAGUGUAGCGGUGAAAUGCGUAGAGAUUGGGAAGAACACCAGUGGCGAAAGCGCUCUACUGGGCCGUAACUGACGCUCAGGGACGAAAGCUAGGGGAGCGAAAGGGAUUAGAUACCCCUGUAGUCCUAGCUGUAAACGAUGGAUACUAGGCGUAGCUUGUAUCGACCCGAGCUGUGCCGAAGCUAACGCGUUAAGUAUCCCGCCUGGGGAGUACGCACGCAAGUGUGAAAC